This 468-nucleotide ribosomal RNA is filed under the name uncultured bacterium. RNAcentral's name for it is "partial 16S ribosomal RNA". It matches the Rfam family "Bacterial small subunit ribosomal RNA", at positions 28 to 507 of the family's 1533-position model. The record is from RNAcentral.
GACGAACGCUGGCGGCGUGCUUAACACAUGCAAGUCGAACGGAAAGGCCCUGCUUUUGUGGGGUGCUCGAGUGGCGAACGGGUGAGUAACACGUGAGUAACCUGCCCUUGACUUUGGGAUAACUUCAGGAAACUGGGGCUAAUACCGGAUAGGAGCUCCUGCUGCAUGGUGGGGGUUGGAAAGUUUCGGCGGUUGGGGAUGGACUCGCGGCUUAUCAGCUUGUUGGUGGGGUAGUGGCUUACCAAGGCUUUGACGGGUAGCCGGCCUGAGAGGGUGACCGGCCACAGUGGGACUGAGAUACGGCCCAGACUCCUACGGGAGGCAGCAGUGGGGAAUAUUGCACAAUGGGCGGAAGACUGAUGCAGCAACGCCGCGUGCGGGAUGACGGCCUUCGGGUUGUAAACCGCUUUCGCCUGUGACGAAGCGUGAGUGACGGUAAUGGGUAAAGAAGAACCGGCUAAAUACGUG